Molecule: long non-coding RNA, 701 nt
Organism: Tachysurus fulvidraco (yellow catfish)
Lineage: Eukaryota; Metazoa; Chordata; Actinopteri; Siluriformes; Bagridae
Exons: 2
Source: RefSeq, a predicted model, not a curated record
GAAUCUGGAGUCUAAGACCUAGGACAGUCCACAGGACCAAGAGUGUUCUGGGGUUUUAUCUUAUUAAAUUCAAGUGCUUACGAGCUGCCAUCUAAGCUGAGAUCUGAGCACAGUGUCUAAGGGACCGAGAGGAUGACUUGUCAUGAGCUGUAGAGAGAUUUAGAGGCAGAACAGCAAAGGAGCAAGUACUGAGACUUGUGGGACACCAGUGGAAAUGCAGAAAGCAGAUCACCAGAUAUGACUGAGCAGCAGAUAGACACCAUUUGGAUGAAGUGCAAGUGUGGCGGAAUAAUGUGCGACAUGUACAGCUGCGUUCGGGAUCAGUGGUGAUGGUGCACAGGGGAAGACCUGCCAGGAACAAGUCGUUAUAGUCCAAUCUCCAAACGACAAGGAUAUUGAGCAGCAUCUCUGGAGAGUAAUGACUGAAGCCCGCUGAAAGGGAACCAGCAAAGUGACCAGAGAACUACAUCAAGGUUUCAUGUGUGUUCGGAUGUGUGUUCAGUGUGGUCUCUGGGGAGAUGACAAGAAUUUGAUGUCAAGACACAACUCCAGGGAUAUACAGCUCGUUCUUUCAGGGAUUCCCUUUUGGAUGAUAAGCUGUCAGAAUUGCUGAAACUGUGUGGAUAAGUUACUUGACACCACCAUAGCAGUAAUAGGAAACACACACACUGGAAAAGCAGAGCAGGUAAAGGCAGAAAAUG